Anguilla anguilla (European eel) is the source of this 1818-nucleotide long non-coding RNA. RefSeq lists it as uncharacterized. The transcript has 3 exons. Lineage: Eukaryota; Metazoa; Chordata; Actinopteri; Anguilliformes; Anguillidae. The record is from RefSeq and is a predicted model, not a curated record.
GCAGCAACAAACACUGAAAAAUAACAACAUUUUUCCUAUUGUAUGCAUAAAUUCACUGUAUGUUCAUGCAUGUUUGUGCAUAUGGAGUCUAAUCCUCACUUUAAGGUCUUCAUACAGAUUUGGUCCAUACCGGUCUGAGACAGUGACAGCUAAUCUGGGAAUGCACAGACUGACGGGUUGGCAUGGCAACCUGUGGGUUUUCCGGGCCUGUCUAAUCAGUCAAAAGCUCAGAGGACUGCAGGCAACAUUCUUUAGAUCCAUUUGUUUAUCCUGGAUGGACGAUGGCUUGUCAAAUAAUAACGCGAUGUAUAAGACUAGUCUUGCUUUCCAUCUCUUUGAAGACACUAGACGGCGGACAUGCUCAAAAUAUACAGCACUGUGAGAAAAUAAUCAAAUGCGGGAGUAUGCUGGUGCCAUUUAUUCUGAGGAAAGACAAAGGCAUCCUGGCCAUUUACGGCACUAGAUGACAUACUGUAUCUAUGUUAACAAGAGAGAGGGGGAGUACCUUGACUGUGGACCCCUGAGACCAGAAAGAGGAGAGUACCCAGACCAGGCAGCAGCAGCGCUAGAAGAAAGGGGGGAGAGCAGCAGGGAGGCAUUGGGAAAACUGGAACAAUGGACCUGCCGACACAAGAGAGAAGAGAGGCUAAACCUAAUGACAGCGACUGUCACACCUGGAGAAAAACCUAGCUGAAAAAACCUUUCUGAAGCAUUCUACUGACUGCUGAGACACCGAUGUUCAAUGGGUGAAACUGGAGCAAUAUAGUAUAUAAAGGUAAACCAUGGAGAACAACAGAUAUUGAGAAAUAUUGGCAUGACGUCAUUGCGCACUAAUUUGACUGUCUACCACGACAAGUCUCAUCAGACGUGCGUUGGGCGUCGAAUUAUUUAUUUUAAAAAAGAAGAAAGAAAACUCAUGACCAGUCUCAUGAGUCAUGACACCCUUCUCGCGCCGCAGGCCGCCAUUCGCAAAAGCUCCUUCAUACUUGUCGAUACCUGUCCGGCAGAGGAAAGUGCCGUCAGCCUGGCAGCCUAGAGGAGGCGCCCCGGAGGAUCACAAAGUUCUAGCGCGCCGUAGGACACUGCGAUUUGCGGUUCCCCGUUCUUACUCUCCAAGUUUCAUACCUGUCUGUCAGGGACUAUGCACAGGAUUGGUGCUAAAGACAUGGCGUUACGCAAUUAAAAAAAUUGUUCCCUGGGUAUGGGAAAAAACCUUUCUUCAUCUGUGGUUCCAAAAUGCGUGCCAUCAAUAAGGGCCGAAUAACUGAGCCCUGCAGUUGCAGAUGCAGUCAGGAACACUACUUUCUUGAUUUGCUUCUUCAAGUGUGAAACUGGCAAAGAGAAUAGCCAGCAUUUAAUUUAAAAACAAAGGAUUCAUUUCAUGAUGACAGUGAAGAUGACAAUGUGGUCGAGAAACUCAUGAAGAAACUGCCGACUGAAAUAUUAUCAUUCAGGAAAUUGUCAUAGCCUUUCCUUUGAAUUUGGAUCUGCAUGUGGAAUUUUAUAUGAUGCCACAACUAAAGUGAUGGCAGUGACAAACCUUGCAUUUUUAAGUCCGUUUCAAGUAUGAACUGUUUUGCUCGGGACAUGUUAUUGCCGACUUUUUUCUUCGCUCAAACAUUAGUUACACGCCCACUUUGGCUUGCGAGUUUAUUUCAGUUCCUCAAAUCAGAGCGGUAGAAUCAAUGCAAAUUUAUAUAAGCCCAGAUAAAUUCGUUUUGAUGUUGCCCAUUUUAUCAUAGUCAAAAAGAAAAAGCCAGUGUCCAGACUCCUUAUUCACAUUUAGGUACGACGGAUAACUUACCAUCACUCCAGACA